RNAcentral lists this ribosomal RNA (342 nucleotides) under Candidatus Kaiserbacteria bacterium. RNAcentral describes it as "bacterial SSU rRNA". It matches the Rfam family "Bacterial small subunit ribosomal RNA", at positions 1180 to 1533 of the family's 1533-position model. The record is from RNAcentral. Lineage: Bacteria; Candidatus Kaiseribacteriota.
UGACGCCAGGUCAGCAUGUCCCUUGAUGCCUCGGGCUGCACUCGUGAUACAAUGGGUAGUACAAAGAGACGCAAUACCGUAAGGUGGAGCAAAUCUUCAAAACUAUCCUCAAUUCGGAUUGAGGUCUGCAACUCGACCUCAUGAAGCCGGAAUCGCUAGUAAUCGUAGGUCAGCUAUACUACGGUGAAUACGUUCCCGAGCCUUGUACUCACCGCCCGUCAACUCAAGGGAGCCGGGAGUGCCCGAAGUCCGUGCUUGUCACGGCCGACGGUAAAUUCGGUGACAGGGAGUAAGUCGUAACAAGGCACGGCUAGCGGAAGCUGGUCGUGGAUUAAUUCCAAU